RNAcentral lists this unclassified non-coding RNA (143 nucleotides) under uncultured Capnodiales. Its description in RNAcentral is "sequence contains ITS2". The record is from RNAcentral. Lineage: Eukaryota; Fungi; Ascomycota; Dothideomycetes; Capnodiales.
CACCACUCAAGCCCGGCUUGGUAUUGGGCGGCGGGGCUCUCCCGCGCCUUAAUUUCACCGGCUGGACGACCCGUAUCUCAGCGUUGUGGCAUCAAAUUCGCUGGCGAGAAGGGUGGUCCGCGCCGUUAAAAUUUCAAUCAAGG